Molecule: long non-coding RNA, 329 nt
Filed under: Monodelphis domestica (gray short-tailed opossum)
Lineage: Eukaryota; Metazoa; Chordata; Mammalia; Didelphimorphia; Didelphidae
Description: lncRNA (ENSMODG00000045522.1)
Source: RNAcentral
UCAUCAAACUCAAGGAACUAACUACUGGGGCAAAAGGAGGAAGAGAAAGAAGCCAAUACAAGAGUCAUCAAAGCCCAGUGGCAAAACAAAAGUCAGCUUCUUGGAGCCACACAAGAGAGUUGGGUGAAAAAUAGACAACAAAGGUGGGUGAGCAGCCCUGAAAAGUGCUUGACAAGCCUUCACACUAGAGGUGCUAACCCUCUUUGAACACCCCAUGUACCCUUAUGAGUGGAGUAGAGAAAGUGUUAUUCUAACACCCUUACCACUGAGCCAGAGAGAGAUUAAGUGACUUGCACAUACUCACACUGGUAUUAUUAGUAGAAUAAGAA